RNAcentral lists this ribosomal RNA (433 nucleotides) under uncultured bacterium. RNAcentral describes it as "partial 16S ribosomal RNA". It matches the Rfam family "Bacterial small subunit ribosomal RNA", at positions 29 to 507 of the family's 1533-position model. The record is from RNAcentral.
AACGAACGCUGGCGGCAUGCCUAACACAUGCAAGUCGAACGAGACCUUCGAGUCUAGUGGCGCACGGGUGCGUAACGCGUGGGAACCUGCCCUUAGGUUCGGAAUAACUCCCCGAAAGGGGUGCUAAUACCGGAUAAUGUCUUCGGACCAAAGAUUUAUCGCCUUUGGAUGGGCCCGCGUUGGAUUAGCUAGUUGGUAGGGUAAAAGCCUACCAAGGCGACGAUCCAUAGCUGGUCUGAGAGGAUGAUCAGCCACACUGGGACUGAGACACGGCCCAGACUCUUACGGGAGGCGGCAGUGGGGAAUAUUGGCAAAUGGCGUAAAGCCUGAACGAGCAAGGCCGCGUGAGUGAUGAAGGCCUUAGGGUUGAAAAGCUCUUUUACCCGGGAUGAUAAUGACGGUACCGGAAGAAUAAGCUCCGGCUAACUCCGUG